AGAGUUUGAUCCUGGCUCAGAAUGAACGCUGGCGGCAUGGAUUAGGCAUGCAAGUCGAGCGCGAAAGUUUCCUUCGGGAAGCAAGUAGAGCGGCGUAAGGGUGAGUAACGCGUGAGUAACCUGCCCCUGACUCCGGGACAGCCCUGGGAAACCGGGAUUAAUACCGGAUGCCGUUGUGCCGCAAGGCAUAACGAAAGAUUGAGUUCGGUCGGGGAUGGGCUCGCGUCCCAUUAGCUGGUUAGUGAGGUAACGGCUCACCAAGGCCGAGACGGGUAGCUGGUCUGAGAGGAUGGUCAGCCACACUGGGACUGAGACACUGCCCAGACUCCUACGGGAGGCUGCAGUCGAGAAUCUUCCGCAAUGGGCGAAAGCCUGACGGAGCGAUGCCGCGUGAGGGAUGAAGGCCUUCGGGUUGUAAACCUCUGUCACCCGGGACGAAGAAGUGACGGUACCGGGAGAGGAAGCCACGGCUAACUACGUGCCAGCAGCCGCGGUAAUACGUAGGUGGCGAGCGUUAUUCGGAUUUACUGGGCGUAAAGGGUUCGUAGGGGGUCUGCCAAGUCUGGUGUGAAAUCCCGCAGCUCAACUGCGGACGUGCACUGGAUACUGGCGAACUAGAGUUCAUGAGGGGAGAGCGGAAUUCCUGGUGUAGCGGUGGAAUGCGUAGAUAUCAGGAAGAACACCGGCGGCGAAGGCGGCUCUCUGGCAUGAAACUGACCCUGAGGAACGAAAGCGUGGGUAGCAAACAGGAUUAGAUACCCUGGUAGUCCACGCUGUAAACGUUGUGCACUAGAUGUGGGCGGUACUUCGGUGCUGUCCGUGUCCCAGCUAACGCGAUAAGUGCACCGCCUGGGGACUACGGCCGCAAGGCUAAAACUCAAAGGAAUUGACGGGGGCCCGCACAAGCGGUGGAGCAUGUGGCUUAAUUCGAGGCAACGCGAAGAACCUUACCUGGACUUGACAUACACCGGACCGCCUGUGAAAGCAGGCUUUUUUCUUCGGAAACCGGUAUACAGGUGCUGCAUGGCUGUCGUCAGCUCGUGCCGUGAGGUGUUCGGUUAAGUCCGGCAACGAGCGCAACCCAUGUGAUCAGUUGCCAGCAGGUGAAGCUGGGCACUCUGGUCAGACUGCCCGUGUCAAGCGGGAGGAAGGCGUGGAUGACGUCAAGUCCGUAUGGCCCUUACGUCCAGGGCUGCACACGUGCUACAAUGGGCGGUACAGUGAGAUGCAAAGCCGCGAGGUGGAGCAAAUCUCCAAAACCGUCCCCAGUUCGGAUUGGAGUCUGCAACUCGACUCCAUGAAGCCGGAAUCGCUAGUAAAGGCGUAUCAGCAACGACGCCUUGAAUACGUUCCCGGGCCUUGUACACACCGCCCGUCACAUCAUGGAAGCUGGCUGCACCCGAAGUCCGCGGUCCAACCCUGCUUGCAGGGAGGAAGCGGCCGAAGGUGUGUCCAGUAACUGGGAUGAAGUCGGAACAAGGUA
This 1483-nucleotide ribosomal RNA is filed under the name metagenome. Its description in RNAcentral is "bacterial SSU rRNA". It matches the Rfam family "Bacterial small subunit ribosomal RNA". The record is from RNAcentral.